RNAcentral lists this ribosomal RNA (253 nucleotides) under uncultured bacterium. RNAcentral describes it as "partial 16S ribosomal RNA". It matches the Rfam family "Bacterial small subunit ribosomal RNA", at positions 524 to 776 of the family's 1533-position model. The record is from RNAcentral.
UACAGAGGGGGCAAGCGUUAUUCGGAAUUAUUGGGCGUAAAGGGCGCGUAGGCGGCCUGGCAAGUGGAAGGUGAAAUCCCUCGGCUUAACCGAGGAACUGCCUCCCAAACUGCUUGGCUUGAGACCGGGAGAGGUGAGUGGAAUUCCCAGUGUAGCGGUGAAAUGCGUAGAUAUUGGGAGGAACACCAGUGGCGAAGGCGGCUCACUGGACCGGUACUGACGCUGAGGCGCGAAAGCCAGGGGAGCAAACGGG